UCACGCUGAGAGAACCUUUGGAAAUUGAACAUGAGACAAUUUCCAAAUGACCUCAACACACGUGAAUCUCAUGACGGACUGCAUACACAAACCUGACCAGGAGUAAACCUUCCAACAGUUGUAACAUGAGUGGACAGCCGUGCAAGUACACCUGACUAUAUUUUUUCAUCACCGUACAUAUUAUGCAGUGUGUCAGUAGUCAGUACACGUGGAGCUGACUGAGGUGUGAAGGUGAUGCGCGCUGUGCUGCUGCUGCUGUGUUGCGCUGGUGGUGGAGGACGAGGACGAGGACUGGAGGAGGAGGCUUUCUAUGGCAUUGUAGUCUAGUUAAAAAGAGGUGUUCAGAUACAAGUGUCAUUGGCGGGCGUUGGUGUGGUGAAGGCCUAACUAAGUCAGGCAGAGCAGUGAGUGAUUGUGGCGGCGUCACGGGCUCACGGCUGUCUCCAGUCUCCACCUCCACGCAAGCGUCACUUGACCCAUGUUGUGAGUGUUUCGCUGUUUAUUGUGAGGGUUAUCAGUGUUUUCAAUGUGUAAUGCGGUGUUGUGCGCGGUUUUGAGUGUUUGGGGGGUUUUGAGUGUUUUCAUUAAUAUUAAUUGGUGUGUUUUGGGCAGCAGCAGGUGGUGGCGGCGGCGGCGGCGGUGUGUGUUCGGUGGCCGCAACGGC
Long non-coding RNA from Portunus trituberculatus (swimming crab), 664 nucleotides. RefSeq lists it as uncharacterized. The record is from RefSeq and is a predicted model, not a curated record. NCBI's taxonomy places the organism in Eukaryota, Metazoa, Arthropoda, Malacostraca, Decapoda, Portunidae. The transcript is spliced from 3 exons.